This 320-nucleotide ribosomal RNA is filed under the name Amycolatopsis orientalis. RNAcentral's name for it is "bacterial SSU rRNA". It matches the Rfam family "Bacterial small subunit ribosomal RNA", at positions 557 to 876 of the family's 1533-position model. Lineage: Bacteria; Bacillati; Actinomycetota; Actinomycetes; Pseudonocardiales; Pseudonocardiaceae. The record is from RNAcentral.
GGCGUAAGAGCUCGUAGGCGGUUUGUCGCGUCGUUCGUGAAAACUCCACGCUUAACGUGGAGCGUGCGGGCGAUACGGGCAGACUUGAGUUCGGUAGGGGAGACUGGAAUUCCUGGUGUAGCGGUGAAAUGCGCAGAUAUCAGGAGGAACACCGGUGGCGAAGGCGGGUCUCUGGGCCGAUACUGACGCUGAGGAGCGAAAGCGUGGGGAGCGAACAGGAUUAGAUACCCUGGUAGUCCACGCUGUAAACGUUGGGCGCUAGGUGUGGGCGACAUCCACGUUGUCCGUGCCGUAACUAACGCAUUAAGCGCCCCGCCUGG